This 253-nucleotide ribosomal RNA is filed under the name uncultured bacterium. RNAcentral's name for it is "partial 16S ribosomal RNA". It matches the Rfam family "Bacterial small subunit ribosomal RNA", at positions 524 to 776 of the family's 1533-position model. The record is from RNAcentral.
UACGUAGGCAGCGAGCGUUGUUCGGAAUUACUGGGCGUAAAGAGUGUGUAGGCGGUGUUCCCAGUCUGUUGUGAAAUCUCCCGGCUUAACUGGGAGGGUGCAGCGGAAACUAGAAUGCUAGAGGGUGGGAGAGGUAAGCGGAAUUCCUGGUGUAGCGGUGAAAUGCGUAGAUAUCAGGAGGAACACCUGUGGUGUAGACAGAUUACUGGACCACUUCUGACGCUGAGACACGAAAGCGUGGGUAGCAAACAGG